RNAcentral lists this ribosomal RNA (467 nucleotides) under uncultured bacterium. RNAcentral describes it as "partial 16S ribosomal RNA". It matches the Rfam family "Bacterial small subunit ribosomal RNA", at positions 28 to 507 of the family's 1533-position model. The record is from RNAcentral.
GACGAACGCUGGCGGCGUGCUUAACACAUGCAAGUCGAACGGAAAGGCUCCAGCUUGCUGGAGUACUCGAGUGGCGAACGGGUGAGUAACACGUGGGUAAUCUGCCCUGCACUCUGGGAUAAGCCUGGGAAACUGGGUCUAAUACUGGAUAUGACCUUUCUCCUUAUGGGGUUUGGUAGAAAGUUUUUCGGUGUAGGAUGAGCCCGCGGCCUAUCAGCUUGUUGGUGGGGUGAUGGCCUACCAAGGCGACGACGGGUAGCCGGCCUGAGAGGGUGAUCGGCCACAUUGGGACUGAGAUACGGCCCAGACUCCUACGGGAGGCAGCAGUGGGGAAUAUUGCACAAUGGGCGGAAGCCUGAUGCAGCGACGCCGCGUGAGGGAUGACGGCCUUCGGGUUGUAAACCUCUUUCAGCAGGGACGAAGCGUAAGUGACGGUACCUGCAGAAGAAGCACCGGCUAACUAUGUG